CUGGUUGAUCCUGCCAGUAGUCAUAUGCUUGUCUCAAAGACUAAGCCAUGCAUGUCUAAGUAUAAAUGGUAUACAGUGAAACUGCGAAUGGCUCAUUAAAACAGUUAUAGUUUAUUUGGUAAUCGAAUUUACAUGGAUAACCGUGGUAAUUCUAGAGCUAAUACAUGCUGUAAGCCCGACUUUUCGGAAGGGCCGUAUUUAUUAGAUAACAGACCAAUGCCCCCCCGGGCUUUGUGGUGACUCAUAGUAACUAAUCGGAUCGCAUGGGCCUGUCCCGCGACAAACCAUUCAAGUUUCUGCCCCAUCAGCUUUCGAUGGUAGUGUAUUGGACUACCAUGGCUUUUACGGGUAACGGAGGAUUAGGGUUCGAUUCCGGAGAGGGAGCCUGAGAAACGGCUACCACAUCUAAGGAAGGCAGCAGGCGCGUAAAUUACCCAAUCCUAAUUCAGGGAGGUAGUGACAAGAAAUAAUGGGUCGGAACUAACGUUCCGGGACCGCAAUGAGAUGAAUUUACACCCCUUUUCGAGGAUCAAUUGGAGGGCAAGUCUGGU
This 551-nucleotide ribosomal RNA is filed under the name uncultured ciliate. RNAcentral describes it as "SSU rRNA". It matches the Rfam family "Eukaryotic small subunit ribosomal RNA", at positions 4 to 565 of the family's 1831-position model. The record is from RNAcentral. Lineage: Eukaryota; Ciliophora.